RNAcentral lists this unclassified non-coding RNA (270 nucleotides) under plant metagenome. Its description in RNAcentral is "partial contains small subunit ribosomal RNA and internal transcribed spacer 1". The stretch from base 1 to 46 matches the Rfam family "Eukaryotic small subunit ribosomal RNA", at positions 1786 to 1831 of the family's 1831-position model. The record is from RNAcentral.
AAGUCGUAACAAGGUAACCGUAGGUGAACCUGCGGUUGGAUCAUUAACACAAAGUUGGUGUUUACUUGCUUGAUGCAAGCUCUUUAUCGGGGCUUGUAGCAGGAUGUAGUGAAAUAUCACCAUUUACACCUUUAUGUGCACCUAAUUUGGUAUGAUUUUGUAUGCUGGAUCAGCAGGAAUGCUGAUUUGGUUGCAAAUCAUAUCUUAUUAACCAAACCUAAGUGUAUCUUAUGUCUGAACUUUUUUGUAUAAAAACAAUUUACAAAACAA